Molecule: long non-coding RNA, 371 nt
Filed under: Lepidothrix coronata (blue-crowned manakin)
Lineage: Eukaryota; Metazoa; Chordata; Aves; Passeriformes; Pipridae
Description: lncRNA (ENSLCOG00000011507.1)
Source: RNAcentral
CCAGCGACAAGACCAUCGGCGGGGGGGACGACUCCUUCAACACCUUCUUCAGCGAGACGGGGGCCGGCAAGCACGUGCCCCGGGCCGUCUUCGUGGACCUGGAGCCCACGGUGAUCGACGAGGUGCGCACGGGGACGUACCGGCAGCUCUUCCACCCCGAGCAGCUGAUCACGGGCAAGGAGGAUGCGGCCAACAACUACGCCCGCGGGCACUACACCAUCGGGAAGGAGAUCAUCGACCUGGUCCUCGACCGCAUCCGCAAGCUGGCUGACCAGUGCACAGGGCUGCAGGGCUUCCUGGUGUUCCACAGCUUCGGGGGUGGCACCGGCUCUGGCUUCACCUCCCUGCUCAUGGAGCGGCUCUCCGUCGAC